CUCCUAUAUUUAAUUAUAUAGGUAGAGCCUGCUCACUGAUUUUAAGAGCCGCAGUAUCCUGACUGUGCUAAGGUAGCAUAAUAAUUAGUUAUUUGAUUGGUAACUUGAAUGAAAGGUUUGACGAAAAGAAAAUCUUCUUUCUGCGAAAAUGAAAUUGAUAAAUAAAUAAAAAAGUUUAUUUCGACUAGAAAGACGAUAAGACCCUAAAACCUUUACUACUUAAACUUUACAAAGUUUUUUACUGGGGCGGUAGAUUAUAUUAGCAUAAUCUUAUUGAACAUAAUGAAUGAAAUCUUGAAUAACUUAUCAGAAUUCCAAAGAGGUACUUUAGGGAUAACAGCAUAAUUUUUAUUAAGAGUAAACCUAUCGACAUAAAAGAUUAUGACCUCGAUGUUGAAUUGAUAAUACUUUACUAAGCAAAAAUAGUAACAGCAGGUCUGUUCGACCUUU
RNAcentral lists this ribosomal RNA (450 nucleotides) under Porcellio scaber. RNAcentral describes it as "partial 16S ribosomal RNA". It matches the Rfam family "Bacterial large subunit ribosomal RNA", at positions 1831 to 2589 of the family's 2925-position model. The record is from RNAcentral. Lineage: Eukaryota; Metazoa; Arthropoda; Malacostraca; Isopoda; Porcellionidae.